This 793-nucleotide long non-coding RNA is filed under the name Scleropages formosus (Asian bonytongue). RNAcentral's name for it is "lncRNA (ENSSFOG00015026159.1)". The record is from RNAcentral. Lineage: Eukaryota; Metazoa; Chordata; Actinopteri; Osteoglossiformes; Osteoglossidae.
GGCUCUCGGGAGCUGUGAGGGGCGCCCAGGCAUCAUCCCCACGGCUGGGGAAUGAACCACCGGGGGGCGGGGGGGGGGGGGGGGGGCGGGAUAAGGAGAGAGGGAUUGCGUUCAGUCCGAGGAUAAGGCAAGCGGGCGGCCGGGUAACGGAAUGCCGACAACAGGGUCAUGUGACAGCUUGGUGGGCAGAAUCAGCUGAGGAGUCUUUGUGGAAGGGUGGGGGGUGGGGGGUGGGGGGGGUGGUGUUGAUGGGAGGAUUAAAACAAACAAAGCUCAUUUCUGUAGCAUGAAUGCAGAGGAGAAAUCGAACACAUGCAGUGCCCUCGUGUAAUUCGGGGCCUCUUCGCUUGCCGGAACGAGCGCGGCUCAUCGGAAGGGAAGCGCGAUGCACUUUUCUUCACAAAAUGAACAAAUUUGCCGCGUUGGGCCAAUUGUACACUGGAGGCUUGUACACCCCCACGCUCGCUGCGGUACGGAUUGGAUCCCUUUUGUCCCCCUUCUGCCGCUUGGGAAGCAGACGGCCUGCAGCGCCUGUUCUGUAACCUCGUUACGGCACACCAGCCCCUCGGCGCAUCGAACCCGGGAUCGCUGUCCGACUAGUACCAGAGCCUCCGAUCGCGUCCUGCUUCUCAACCUAAGUGCUCGGCACCUGAAUCUUGACGGCGACGCCGGAGAGGGGCGGAGGGGGUGUAACCGCACCCCGUUUUUCCGCAGUCCUGCCAUUUUUGAAACGGACCAGAUGAAGGACCGGAACAGGCUGGGUCUCAGGCCCGGUCUGACGCCGUGCAUGUGA